Molecule: long non-coding RNA, 229 nt
Filed under: Homo sapiens (human)
Lineage: Eukaryota; Metazoa; Chordata; Mammalia; Primates; Hominidae
Description: non-protein coding lnc-ZBTB14-2:1
Source: RNAcentral
CAGAGGAAUGACGCCAGCAGAAGCAGAGAUGCAUUUCUUGGAAAAUGCCAAAAAAUUAUCAAUGUAUGGGGUAGAUUUACAUCAUGCUAAGCAUGGGGAAAGACUGUAUGUGGUACAUCUCCUAAGCUUGAUACAACGUCUCUGAUGACCUCUGGACAUCACACAUCCAUAGGAAAUUACCUAAACAUGAAAUGUGCAAGUAGCAAAAGGAAAUUGCAGUUCUAGGAUG